GGCCACACUGGGAAUGAGACACGGCCCAGAUUCUUAGGGAGGCAGCAGUGGGAAUAUUGCCCAAUGGGCGAAAGCCUGAUGCAGCGACGCCGCUUGAGGGAUGAAGGCCUUCGGGUUGUAAACCUCUUUCAGUAGGGAAGAAGCGAAAGUGACGGUACCUGCAGAAGAAGCGCCGGCUAACUACGUGCCAGCAGCCGCGGUAAUACGUAGGGCGCAAGCGUUGUCCGGAAUUAUUGGGCGUAAAGAGCUCGUAGGCGGUUUGUCGCGUCUGGUGUGAAAACUCAAGGCUCAACCUUGAGCUUGCAUCGGGUACGGGCAGACUAGAGUGUGGUAGGGGUGACUGGAAUUCCUGGUGUAGCGGUGGAAUGCGCAGAUAUCAGGAGGAACACCGAUGGCGAAGGCAGGUCACUGGGCCACUACUGACGCUGAGGAGCGAAAGCAUGGGGAGCGAACAGGAUUAGAUACCCUGGUAGUCCAUGCCGUAAACGUUGGGCACUAGGUGUGGGGCUCAUUCCACGAGUUCCGCGCCGCAGCUAACGCAUUAAGUGCCCCGCCUGGGGAGUACGGCCGCAAGGCUAAAACUCAAAGGAAUUGACGGGGGCCCGCACAAGCGGCGGAGCAUGCGGAUUAAUUCGAUGCAACGCGAAGAACCUUACCAAGGCUUGACAUACACCGGAAUCAUGCAGAGAUGUGUGCGUCUUCGGACUGGUGUACAGGUGGUGCAUGGUUGUCGUCAGCUCGUGUCGUGAGAUGUUGGGUUAAGUCCCGCAACGAGCGCAACCCUCGUCCUAUGUUGCCAGCACGUUAUGGUGGGGACUCAUAGGAGACUGCCGGGGUCAACUCGGAGGAAGGUGGGGAUGACGUCAAAUCAUCAUGCCCCUUAUGUCUUGGGCUUCACGCAUGCUACAAUGGCCGGUACAAAGGGCUGCGAUACCGCGAGGUGGAGCGAAUCCCAAAAAGCCGGUCUCAGUUCGGAUUGGGGUCUGCAACUCGACCCCAUGAAGUCGGAGUCGCUAGUAAUCGCAGAUCAGCAACGCUGCGGUGAAUACGUUCCCGGGCCUUGUACACACCGCCCGUCAAGUCACGAAAGUCGGUAACACCCGAAGCCGGUGCGCAUGUAAGAUCCGCACCUCGUGGCUACAUCGUAGUAGUCUA
Molecule: ribosomal RNA, 1155 nt
Filed under: Sanguibacter inulinus
Lineage: Bacteria; Bacillati; Actinomycetota; Actinomycetes; Micrococcales; Sanguibacteraceae
Description: bacterial SSU rRNA
Rfam family: Bacterial small subunit ribosomal RNA
Source: RNAcentral